AGCGAACGCUGGCGGCAGGCUUAACACAUGCAAGUCGAGCGGGCGUAGCAAUACGUCAGCGGCAGACGGGUGAGUAACGCGUGGGAACGUGCCUUUUGGUUCGGAACAACCCAGGGAAACUUGUGCUAAUACCGAAUGUGCCCUUCGGGGAAGGAUUUAUCGCCAUUGGAGCGGCCCGCGUUGGAUUAGGUAGUUGGUGAGGUAAAGGCUCACCAAGCCUACGAUCCAUAGCUGGUCNGAGAGGAUGAUCAGCCACACUGGGACUGAGACACGGCCCAGACUCCUACGGGAGGCAGCAGUAGGGAAUCUUGCGCAAUGGGCGAAAGCCUGACGCAGCCAUGCCGCGUGAAUGAUGAAGGUCUUAGGAUUGUAAAAUUCUUUCACCGGGGGAAGAUAAUGACGGUACCCGGAGAAGAAGCCCCGGCUAACUUCGUGCCAGCAGCCGCCGUAAC
Molecule: ribosomal RNA, 452 nt
Filed under: uncultured bacterium
Lineage: Bacteria
Description: bacterial SSU rRNA
Rfam family: Bacterial small subunit ribosomal RNA
Source: RNAcentral